RNAcentral lists this ribosomal RNA (455 nucleotides) under uncultured organism. RNAcentral describes it as "bacterial SSU rRNA". It matches the Rfam family "Bacterial small subunit ribosomal RNA", at positions 346 to 794 of the family's 1533-position model. The record is from RNAcentral.
GCGCAGCAGGCGAGAAUUUUUCUCAAUGGGCGAAAGCCUGAAGGAGCGACGCCGCGUGGAGGAUGAAGGCUUUCGGGUCGUAAACUCCUGUCAUUUGAGAACAAGUGUAGCCAAAUAACUACUGGCUACUUGAUAGUAUCAGAAGAGGAAGGGACGGCUAACUCUGUGCCAGCAGCCGCGGUAAUACAGAGGUCCCAAGCGUUGUUCGGAUUCAUUGGGCGUAAAGGGUGCGUAGGUGGCGCCGUAAGUGGGGUGUGAAAUUUCGGAGCUUAACUCCGAAACUGCAUUCCAUACUGCGGUGCUUGAGGACUGGAGAGGAGACUGGAAUUCAUGGUGUAGCAGUGAAAUGCGUAGAGAUCAUGAGGAAGACCAGUGGCGAAGGCGGGUCUCUGGACAGUUCCUGACACUGAGGCACGAAGGCUAGGGGAGCGAACGGGAUUAGAUACCCCUGUAGU